RNAcentral lists this ribosomal RNA (443 nucleotides) under uncultured bacterium. RNAcentral's name for it is "partial 16S ribosomal RNA". It matches the Rfam family "Bacterial small subunit ribosomal RNA", at positions 338 to 795 of the family's 1533-position model. The record is from RNAcentral.
CCUACGGGAGGCAGCAGUGGGGAAUAUUGGGCAAUGGGCGCAAGCCUGACCCAGCAACGCCGCGUGAAGGAAGAAGGCUUUCGGGUUGUAAACUUCUUUUAUCAGGGACGAAGCAAGUGACGGUACCUGAUGAAUAAGCCACGGCUACCUACGUGCCAGCAGCCGCGGUAAUACGUAGGUGGCAAGAGUUAUCCGGAUUUACUGGGUGUAAAGGGCGUGUAGGCGGGGGUGCAAGUCAGAUGAUAAAAUUAUGGGCUCAACCCAUAGCCCGCAGGUGAAACUGUACUUAUUGAGUGCUGGAGAGGCAAUCGGAAGUCCGGGUGUAGCGGGGAAAUGCGUAGAGAUACGGAGGAACACCAGUGGCGAAGGCGGAUUGCUGGACAGUAACUGACGCUGAGGCGCGAAAGCGUGGGGAGCAAACAGGAUUAGAUACCCUAGUAGUC